Molecule: transfer RNA, 72 nt
Filed under: Phrynosoma platyrhinos (Desert horned lizard)
Lineage: Eukaryota; Metazoa; Chordata; Lepidosauria; Squamata; Phrynosomatidae
Description: tRNA-OTHER
Source: RNAcentral
GCCAGCAUGGUAUAGUGGUUUAAACAUUGGAUUACAGCUCUGGAGACCAGAGUUCAAAUCCCUGCUCAGCCA